RNAcentral lists this ribosomal RNA (449 nucleotides) under uncultured bacterium. Its description in RNAcentral is "partial 16S ribosomal RNA". It matches the Rfam family "Bacterial small subunit ribosomal RNA", at positions 29 to 523 of the family's 1533-position model. The record is from RNAcentral.
AGCGAACGCUGGCGGCAGGCCUAACACAUGCAAGUCGAACGAACUCUUCGGAGUUAGUGGCGGACGGGUGAGUAACACGUGGGAACGUGCCUUUAGGUUCGGAAUAACUCAGGGAAACUUGUGCUAAUACCGAAUGUGCCCUUCGGGGGAAAGAUUUAUCGCCUUUAGAGCGGCCCGCGUCUGAUUAGCUUGUUGGUUGGGUAAUGGCCCACCAAGGCGACGAUCAGUAGAUGGUCUGAGAGGAUGACCAGCAACAUUGGGACUGAGACACGGCCCAAACUCCUACGGGAGGCAGCAGUGGGGAAUCUUGCGCAAUGGGCGAAAGCCUGACGCAGCCAUGCCGCGUGGAUGAUGAAGGUCUUAGGAUUGUAAAAUCCUUUCACCGGUGAAGAUAAUGACUGUAGCCGGAGAAGAAGCCCCGGCUAACUUCGUGCCAGCCGCCGCCGUAA